UGGGGGAUAUUGCACAAUGGGGGAAACCCUGAUGCAGCAACGCCGCGUGAACGAAGAAGGUCUUCGGAUUGUAAAGUUCUGUUCUUGGUGAAGAUAAUGACGGUAGCCAAGGAGAAAGCUCCGGCUAACUACGUGCC
Molecule: ribosomal RNA, 137 nt
Filed under: uncultured bacterium
Lineage: Bacteria
Description: partial 16S ribosomal RNA
Rfam family: Bacterial small subunit ribosomal RNA
Source: RNAcentral